UUAAGUUCAGCGGGUAGUCCUACCUGAUUUGAGGUCAAAUUGUCAAAGCGUUGUCCAAUUGAAGGACCAUUAGAAGCUGAUUUCAACAAGAGCAAUACAGUGAAGAUAUUAUCACACCGCAUAUACGCUGCUUGUAAGACUUCAGCUAAUGCAUUUGAGGGAAGCCAAUUCAGCAUUAGAACCAGCAAGUCCCCAAGUCC
Molecule: unclassified non-coding RNA, 200 nt
Filed under: Xylodon sp.
Lineage: Eukaryota; Fungi; Basidiomycota; Agaricomycetes; Hymenochaetales; Schizoporaceae
Description: partial internal transcribed spacer 2
Source: RNAcentral